UUACGGCAAUAUCACGUUGAAACACCACUUCUCGUACGAACACCUAAGUUAAGCAACGUCGAUCUAAGUCAGUACCUAGAUAGGUGACACCUUGGCAAUAUCAGGUGCU
Non-coding RNA from Acanthosepion pharaonis, 109 nucleotides. NCBI's taxonomy places the organism in Eukaryota, Metazoa, Mollusca, Cephalopoda, Sepiida, Sepiidae. The record is from the annotation of a GenBank genome assembly.